RNAcentral lists this ribosomal RNA (897 nucleotides) under Diploscapter sp. JU359. RNAcentral describes it as "SSU rRNA". It matches the Rfam family "Eukaryotic small subunit ribosomal RNA", at positions 39 to 966 of the family's 1831-position model. Lineage: Eukaryota; Metazoa; Nematoda; Chromadorea; Rhabditida; Rhabditidae. The record is from RNAcentral.
AAAGAUUAAGCCAUGCAUGCUCGCACAACUCGAUUAUGAGUGAAGCUGCGCACGGCUCAUUAGCACGGUUUCGACCUUUUUCGGAUAUCUCAAUGGGAUAACUGCGGAAAUACUGGAGCUAAUACCUGCACUUAAAAACCCGACGUAAGUAGGGUUGCAAUUAUUAGGCCAAACCAAUCGUCCUCGUGACGUAUUGUGGCGACUCCAAAUAGCCCAGUCUAUCGUCGGUUCUAUCCGACGAAGGCCGAAAAGGGUUUCUGCCCUAUCAACUAGACGGUAGCCCAGUAGACUACCGUGGUUGUCACGGGUACCGGAGAAUUGGGGUUUGACUCCGGAGAGGGAGCCUUAGAAACGGCUACCACAUCCAAGGAAGGCAGCAGGCGCGAAACUUGUCCACUGUCAAAAAUGAGAUAGUGACUAAAAAUAUAAAAUCCCUCCCUCAUGGGAGGGAUAUUUAAAUGAGUAGAGGUUAAAAAGCUCUUCGAGAAACUAAGAGAGGGCAAGUCUGGUGCCAGCAGCCGCGGUAAUUCCAGCUCUCUAAGUGUAAAUCGUUAUUGUCGCGGUUAAAAAGCUCGUAGUUGGAUUUAUGGUGGAUAGUGUGCGUUCGCUCAUUCGGGCGUCAAUGCACACGCCAUCAUUUCGGCAGUCUGCGCUAUGUGCGAAAGCAUAUACGUGACUGUCAAGUUUACCUUAAAUAGAUUAAAAUGCUCAAAAUAAGCGUAUGCUUGAAUAUCAUAUUAUGGAAUAAUGAAAUAGGACUUCGGUUCUUUUUGUUGGUUAUUGAAUCGGAGUAAUGAUUAAUAGGGAUAAUCUCGGGGGCAUUCGUAUUUCUGCGGGAGAGGUGAAAUUCUAUGAUCGCAGAAGGACGCCCUAAAGCGAAAGCAUUUGCCAAGAAUG